RNAcentral lists this ribosomal RNA (163 nucleotides) under Malus fusca. RNAcentral describes it as "5.8S ribosomal RNA". It matches the Rfam family "5.8S ribosomal RNA". From Rfam's summary of the family: 5.8S ribosomal RNA (5.8S rRNA) is a component of the large subunit of the eukaryotic ribosome. It is transcribed by RNA polymerase I as part of the 45S precursor that also contains 18S and 28S rRNA. Functionally, it is thought that 5.8S rRNA may be involved in ribosome translocation. RNAcentral also lists the same sequence under 7 other names. The record is from RNAcentral. Lineage: Eukaryota; Viridiplantae; Streptophyta; Magnoliopsida; Rosales; Rosaceae.
CAAAACGACUCUCGGCAACGGAUAUCUCGGCUCUCGCAUCGAUGAAGAACGUAGCGAAAUGCGAUACUUGGUGUGAAUUGCAGAAUCCCGUGAACCAUCGAGUCUUUGAACGCAAGUUGCGCCCGAAGCCAUCAGGCCGAGGGCACGCCUGCCUGGGCGUCAC